RNAcentral lists this ribosomal RNA (449 nucleotides) under uncultured bacterium. Its description in RNAcentral is "bacterial SSU rRNA". It matches the Rfam family "Bacterial small subunit ribosomal RNA", at positions 328 to 792 of the family's 1533-position model. The record is from RNAcentral.
GUACCAGACUCCUACGGGAGGCAGCAGUGGGGAAUAUUGGGCAAUGGGCGCAAGCCUGACCCAGCAACGCCGCGUGAAGGAAGAAGGCUUUCGGGUUGUAAACUUCUUUUAAGGGGGACGAACAAAUGACGGUACCCCUUGAAUAAGCCACGGCUAACUACGUGCCAGCAGCCGCGGUAAUACGUAGGUGGCAAGCGUUGUCCGGAUUUACUGGGUGUAAAGGGCGUGCAGCCGGAGAGACAAGUCAGAUGUGAAAUCCACGGGCUCAACCCGUGAACUGCAUUUGAAACUGUUUCCCUUGAGUGUCGGAGAGGUAAUCGGAAUUCCUUGUGUAGCGGUGAGAUGCGUAGAUAUAAGGAAGAACACCAGUGGCGAAGGCGGAUUACUGGACGAUAACUGACGGUGAGGCGCGAAAGCGUGGGGAGCAAACAGGAUUAGAUACCCUAGUA